RNAcentral lists this long non-coding RNA (1789 nucleotides) under Homo sapiens (human). RNAcentral describes it as "HSALNT0270759". Lineage: Eukaryota; Metazoa; Chordata; Mammalia; Primates; Hominidae. The record is from RNAcentral.
UAUAUAUAUAUAUAUAUAUAUAUAUCUGAUACGUAUACAUAUAUACCAGAUAAAAUAUGUCAUAUAUAUCAGUUAUAUAUACACAUUAGAUGAAAAGUACAUUUUCAUUUGACAGGGAAUUCUUUCAAAUCAAAUCAUCAAACACUCUAAAAUUGGGCAAAGUACACUUUUCCAGAUCUGCAAGUUACUUGUGUACAUAGGAAAAAGUCCUUCGCAUUUCUGGUAUAAGAAUUUAAAUUAAAAGAGGAAUGAAACAGUUUUCUAUCCACAAUAUUUGUGAGGAUGUUUUAUACUCCUGCUUAAAGUUUAAGUUGCUGAUUACUUUUCAAAUAGAUAAUUUGGUGGUAAGUACUACAAUUAAAAAAUAUGUAUGCCCUUUACACAUCAAUUCCAUUUACUAAAACACCCUUAGGAAAUAAAGAUACAUGCACUUUAUUUUUCACCUCACUUAUUUUAAAAAGAACCCAAAGAAUGGAUCCUAUAAAUAAACUUCAGUUGCAUCCACAGGAUGGAAUAAUAUGUGACCAUUGAAGGUGGCAAUAGAUACAGAAGUAUAUUGAUGUGCAAAGAUGUAUUUUGUUAUAGCUAGUGAGAAAAAAAUCAAUUAAGUUAUACAUACAAACAAACUAUGGUCUUGUUUUAUCAAAAAAUAUGUACAAAAUAUAAAAUUUGUAAUUUCUGAGCAUUUGUAUUUUAAGUAAAGUUCUUUUCCUUUUUCUUAUCUGUGAUUGCUGCAGUGAGCAUGUACAAAACUUCUAGUAAAGUUUAUUAAUAAAGAAAUAAUCCUUGGGAAGACAGGAAUAUGAAUCUUACAAUAUUAAAAAUAAUUUCUCACUUUCUAUUUUUUAUCAUUAUUGAGUGUAUUGUUAUCUUCUUUGAACUUUUAGCCUCUUCAGAAGUAAAAAGGGAAUAUUUUUAUCUGUUUCCAGAUUUUAUUAUCUAUAUAUUUUAUUAUGUACAUAUGUUUUUCUUAUGUAUUCAUUCAAUUUAUGCAAACAAUGAUAGAUUAAUCAUUUCAUUUUAAUUGUAUUCUUAAAUAAAAAUAACAUAUAAAUAUUACUAUUGCAAAAAUAUUGCUUUAUAGGAGUUUAUUUAAAAAUAUUGAACUCCCCAACUGUAUUUUUCCAUUCUUUCAUUCCAUUUAUUCAUCAAACAUAACCUGAGUAUCUGUUAUGUAGCAGACAUAUUCUGCUGUCUCUCAGGUCCCUUCUAUCCUUAAAAACUUCAUGUUUACCUGCCCUGCCUGCACAAGCUGAGAGAUUUAAAAUAGGAAUAUUGGGACUUAAUCUCCUUGAAACUUUGUCACCCAACUUUCAAACAAAAGCAUUUCUGAAGUUAGAAAAUAGUAGAAGAUAAGCUUUAACUGCCCACUCAAAAGUUUAUCAGUCUUAAAUAUUAAUAUUAAUCAUGGGAAUGUCUUAUUUACAUAUAUUCUGUAAGCAUAAAUAUUGAAUAAAAUGAACCAUAUGUAUUCAUUUGAAUCAUGAGUUUCCUUUGUCUUCAAUUUGUUUGAAAAUCAAGGAAUUAAUUUGUUUGAAAAAUGCAUUAUUAUUAUUUCAGUGUUCUAUCCCCAUAGUACCUUUAAGCAGGCGGACAAGCCAGCAACCUCACCCGCUCAAGGAAGCCCAGAUGGCCAGGUUCCAACAGCAUGAGUAGCUGCCACCUGAUGGCUGAUGGAGCAGAGUCCUGAGGAAAAGCAGAUGGCACUGGGGCCCUAACUCUAGGGCAGAAGAACUGAUGUACUGUGACUGGCAGCAUGUGAGGUUGGUGAUUGGCCCACCUGUUCCUG